GAUGAACGCUAGCGGCAGGCUUAACACAUGCAAGUCGAGGGGUAUUGGUUUUCGGACCAAGAGACCGGCGCACGGGUGCGUAACGCGUAUGCAAUCUACCUUUCACAGAGGGAUAGCCCAGAGAAAUUUGGAUUAAUACCUCAUAGCAUAAUGAGUUGGCAUCAACACAUUAUUAAAGUCACAACGGUGAAAGAUGAGCAUGCGUCCCAUUAGCUAGUUGGUAUGGUAACGGCAUACCAAGGCUACGAUGGGUAGGGGUCCUGAGAGGGAGAUCCCCCACACUGGUACUGAGACACGGACCAGACUCCUACGGGUGGCUG
RNAcentral lists this ribosomal RNA (320 nucleotides) under uncultured Bacteroidota bacterium. Its description in RNAcentral is "bacterial SSU rRNA". It matches the Rfam family "Bacterial small subunit ribosomal RNA", at positions 28 to 351 of the family's 1533-position model. The record is from RNAcentral. Lineage: Bacteria; Pseudomonadati; Bacteroidota.